This 429-nucleotide ribosomal RNA is filed under the name Actinomycetes bacterium. RNAcentral's name for it is "Actinobacteria bacterium partial 16S ribosomal RNA". It matches the Rfam family "Bacterial small subunit ribosomal RNA", at positions 355 to 776 of the family's 1533-position model. The record is from RNAcentral. Lineage: Bacteria; Bacillati; Actinomycetota; Actinomycetes.
UAGGGAAUCUUCCGCAAUGGGCGAAAGCCCGACGGAGCAACGCCGCGUGAGUGAUGAAGGUCUUCGGAUCGUAAAACUCUGUUAUUAGGGAAGAACAAAUGUGUAAGUAACUAUGCACGUCUUGACGGUAUCUAAUCAGAAAGCCACGGCUAACUACGUGCCAGCAGCCGCGGUAAUACGUCGGUGGCAAGCGUUAUCCGGAAUUAUUGGGCGUAAAGCGCGCGUAGGCGGUUUUUUAAAUCUGAUGUGAAAGCCCACGGCUCAACCGUGGGGGGUCGUUUGAAACUGGAAAACUUGAGUGCAGGAGAGGAAAGUGGAAUUCCAUGUGUAGCGGUGAGAUGCGCAGAGAUAUAGAGGAACACCAGUGGCGAAGGCGACUUUCUGGUCUAUAACUGACGCUGAUGUGCGAAAGCGUGGGGAUCAAACAGG